RNAcentral lists this transfer RNA (92 nucleotides) under uncultured bacterium. Its description in RNAcentral is "tRNA-Ser". It matches the Rfam family "tRNA". Rfam says of the family: Transfer RNA (tRNA) molecules are approximately 80 nucleotides in length. Their secondary structure includes four short double-helical elements and three loops (D, anti-codon, and T loops). The record is from RNAcentral.
GGAGGGAUGCCGGAGCGGCUGAACGGACCCGCCUGGAAAGUGGGUAGACCUCGCAAGGGGUCUCGGGGGUUCAAAUCCCUCUCCCUCCGCCA